UACGUAGGGGGCGAGCGUUGUCCGGAAUCAUUGGGCGUAAAGCGCGUGUAGGCGGCCCGGUAAGUCCGCUGUGAAAGUCCAGGGCUCAACCCUGGGAUGCCGGUGGAUACUGUCGGGCUAGAGUCCGGAAGAGGAGUGUGGAAUUCCUGGUGUAGCGGUGAAAUGCGCAGAUAUCAGGAGGAACACCAAUGGCGAAGGCAGCACUCUGGGACGUGACUGACGCUGAGACGCGAAAGCGUGGGGAGCAAACAGG
Molecule: ribosomal RNA, 253 nt
Filed under: uncultured bacterium
Lineage: Bacteria
Description: partial 16S ribosomal RNA
Rfam family: Bacterial small subunit ribosomal RNA
Source: RNAcentral